UUAAGAAAUAGUGUAGAUGGAUGCCAAGGAGUUUUGAUCUCCUAAGAAUAGGUUCAAACCCUUUUUUCUUAAG
This 73-nucleotide transfer RNA is filed under the name Batrachuperus londongensis (Longdong stream salamander). RNAcentral describes it as "tRNA-Gln". It matches the Rfam family "tRNA". Rfam says of the family: Transfer RNA (tRNA) molecules are approximately 80 nucleotides in length. Their secondary structure includes four short double-helical elements and three loops (D, anti-codon, and T loops). Lineage: Eukaryota; Metazoa; Chordata; Amphibia; Caudata; Hynobiidae. The record is from RNAcentral.